UACGUAGGGGGCGAGCGUUGUCCGGAUUUACUGGGCGUAAAGAGCGCGUAGGCGGAAAUUUAAGCGUGGCCUGAAAGCCCCCGGCUCAACCGGGGAGUGCGGCUGCGAACUGGGUUUCUUGAGGACGAUAGAGGAGAGUGGAAUUCCUGGUGUAGCGGUGAAAUGCGUAGAUAUCAGGAGGAACACCCGAGGCGAAGGCGGCUCUCUGGGUCGUACCUGACGCUGAGGCGCGAAAGCGUGGGGAGCGAGCAGG
Molecule: ribosomal RNA, 253 nt
Filed under: uncultured bacterium
Lineage: Bacteria
Description: partial 16S ribosomal RNA
Rfam family: Bacterial small subunit ribosomal RNA
Source: RNAcentral